CGUAGGGUGCGAGCGUUAAUCGGAAUUACUGGGCGUAAAGUGUGCGCAGGUGGCCGCGCAUGUCGAGUGUGAAAUCCCCGGGCUUAACUUGGGAAUUGCGCUCGAAACUACGUGGCUAGAGUGUGGCAGAGGAAGGUGGAAUUCCACGUGUAGCGGUGAAAUGCGUAGAGAUGUGGAGGAACACCGAUGGCGAAGGCAGCCUUCUGGGCCAACACUGACGCUCAUGCACGAAAGCGUGGGGAGCAAACAGGAUUAAAUACCCUGGUAGUCCACGCCCUAAACGAUGAUGACUAGUUGUUGGAGGAGUUAAAUCCUUUAGUAACGCAGCUAACGCGUGAAGUCAUCCGCCUGGGGAGUACGGUCGCAAGAUUA
This 372-nucleotide ribosomal RNA is filed under the name uncultured organism. RNAcentral's name for it is "bacterial SSU rRNA". It matches the Rfam family "Bacterial small subunit ribosomal RNA", at positions 526 to 896 of the family's 1533-position model. The record is from RNAcentral.